This 488-nucleotide ribosomal RNA is filed under the name uncultured bacterium. RNAcentral's name for it is "partial 16S ribosomal RNA". It matches the Rfam family "Bacterial small subunit ribosomal RNA", at positions 30 to 505 of the family's 1533-position model. The record is from RNAcentral.
AUUGAACGCUGGCGGCAGGCCUAACACAUGCAAGUCGAAUGGUAACAGGAAACAGCUUGCUGUUUCGCUGACGAGUGGCGGACGGGUGAGUAAUGUCUGGGAAACUGCCUGAUGGAGGGGGAUAACUACUGGAAACGGUAGCUAAUACCGCAUAACGUCGCAAGACCAAAGAGGGGGACCUUCGGGCCUCUUGCCAUCGGAUGUGCCCAGAUGGGAUUAGCUAGUAGGUGGGGUAACGGCUCACCUAGGCGACGAUCCCUAGCUGGUCUGAGAGGAUGACCAGCCACACUGGAACUGAGACACGGUCCAGACUCCUACGGGAGGCAGCAGUGGGGAAUAUUGCACAAUGGGCGCAAGCCUGAUGCAGCCAUGCCGCGUGUAUGAAGAAGGCCUUCGGGUUGUAAAGUACUUUCAGCGGGGAGGAAGGGAGUAAAGUUAAUACCUUUGCUCAUUGACGUUACCCGCAGAAGAAGCACCGGCUAACUCCG